This 429-nucleotide ribosomal RNA is filed under the name Bacteroidota bacterium. RNAcentral's name for it is "Bacteroidetes bacterium partial 16S ribosomal RNA". It matches the Rfam family "Bacterial small subunit ribosomal RNA", at positions 355 to 776 of the family's 1533-position model. The record is from RNAcentral. Lineage: Bacteria; Pseudomonadati; Bacteroidota.
UAGGGAAUCUUCGGCAAUGGGGGGAACCCUGACCGAGCAACGCCGCGUGAGUGAAGAAGGUUUUCGGAUCGUAAAGCUCUGUUGUUAAGGAAGAACGAGUGUGAGAAUGGAAAGUUCAUACUGUGACGGUACUUAACCAGAAAGGGACGGCUAACUACGCGCCAGCAGCCGCGGUAAUACGUAGGUCCCGAGCGUUGUCCGGAUUUAUUGGGCGUAAAGCGAGCGCAGGCGGUUAGAUAAGUCUGAAGUUAAAGGCAGUGGCUCAACCAUUGUAGGCUUUGGAAACUGUUUAACUUGAGUGCAGAAGGGGAGAGUGGAAUUCCAUGUGUAGCGGUGAAAUGCGUAGAUAUAUGGAGGAACACCGGUGGCGAAAGCGGCUCUCUGGUCUGUAACUGACGCUGAGGCUCGAAAGCGUGGGGAGCGAACAGG